Molecule: long non-coding RNA, 1683 nt
Organism: Pseudopipra pipra
Lineage: Eukaryota; Metazoa; Chordata; Aves; Passeriformes; Pipridae
Exons: 2
Source: RefSeq, a predicted model, not a curated record
GAUGGAGUGGGAUUGGGGUGGGAUGGACGGAGCAGGAUCAGGAGGGAUUCCGGAGCAUUUCCUACUCUCCCAGGGCUCCACAGCCAGAUCCAUCCCCUGGGAUGGGAACAGGGACAUGGUGACUCCUUUCCCCGCUCUCAUCCCAGCAGGAAUCACAGCCUGAACGAUCCUGGAGCUGGAUCCGCCCCUUCCCUCUCCAUGCGGAAAGGCAGGAGCUGCUGGUAGAGCUCAUCCCGCUGCUCCCACCCACCCCGGCCCCCCUGCGUCUAUUCCUGAUGGAUCAACUUCCUGCUUUUUCCUGUGUGAACCUGUCAGAGACUGAAACAGUCAAUGAUUUCUGCAUUCUGGGGUUGCCAGGAGGCUUUUUGCGGCUUUUGCAGGACUUUGGCAUUAUCCCUCUGAUGGGCAGCUGGGCCCAUCUCCCCCUCCAGUGCUGCUGAAGGUGUCAAGCCCUGGAAAGGAGAGAAGAGCCGAGUUUACCAGGCCCCUCACAGGAACUCUGCUCUGGGCUGUCCGAGGUGUUGGGGGUUCAUGGCAUGGCCCAUCAAAGCCCAUCCCCCCCUGCCAAUCUUGGAAGGUGGGAAAAAGCCUUUUCCCUGCCCCUCACGGGAACUCUGCACAGGCCUGGGAGACGUUGGGGGUUCGUGGCAUGGCCCGGGACACUGUCCAUGGAUAUAAUAACUCAUAACUUCCCUGAGUGUGGGGGCUUCCCUCCCUCAUCCCCAAUGGAUCAAAGUGUAAGGGGGGUACUUUUGAAUUAGAUGAUCAAUGGAGCAUAGAGGCGUGAGAAAGGAAUCAUAUUAGGAUGUGAAACCAGCCAGAGUAUGGUACAAUGGAACUUCAUGGCAGAAGCGAAUUGGAAGGUCCAUUGUGCUUUUUAGCAAGUCAGCUUGAUAUCCCCUGUUAUCAGAGCUGAGUUCUUCCUUGGUUUUGCUACAUACUGCAAGAUAGAUACAUCUACCCUUCAAACACAGUGGUAGAGGUCAUGCAUAGGGGUGAGAAAGAUGAUGAUGGGAGGAAGAUGAUGUGGGCAGGGGUCGCUGGCCCCUUGCCCUCCAAGUAGGGCAUGCACAGACUGUUGCCAUGAGGUGAUGAUCAGGAGGGGUUUGGCUGCCAUUCAGGCAUCACCUUAUACUGGGUACUGGCCCUACGUGGUGUAAUGUGGAACUGAUAAAAUGGGGUGUUGGGACUGCUGAGCUGAGCGAUCCUCAUCCUGCCACCGAGACUGUGGCUCCGCGGGGACGCCCGCUAAGCACGGGCACCGACCAGCUGCUGCAGAUCCUGACAGCCCUGGCCUGUCUGUGUGGUAAGCACAGUUUAUUGACAGGAAGCAACUGAGAGAACAAACUUUUUAAUAUCCCUUUAGUGUCACUUUAAUUCCCCUUUUAUUCUUGAAUAUUGUUACAUAAAUAAGUUGUUCACAGUAUUUCCCUUUAAUUUCCCUUUUUACUAACCAAUAUUGUGUUAAUAGUUCUCCAUAAUAUUGUGUUAAGACACCUUUUUUGGUAUCCGUUUAACCCCCUUUUUUCACUAGUUAAUACUGUAUUAAAUGCUGUUUGUAGUAUUUGUUUUUAAGGCCACACAAUAAGAUAUUUUGUAUCUUUUUUUAGUUCUUGAUUCUCUUUGUUAAGAUGAUUAUUAUUAUUAUUCUCACUGUAAUAAAAGAUAUUUUUUGUGUUUGAA